Molecule: non-coding RNA, 347 nt
Organism: Pelobates cultripes (western spadefoot toad)
Lineage: Eukaryota; Metazoa; Chordata; Amphibia; Anura; Pelobatidae
Source: the annotation of a GenBank genome assembly
GUGAGCAUGGGGUACCCUACCUGUAGAAAACUCAGUUAGCCCUUUGAGAGAUCUUGGUAAAAUCAUAAAAGAGAGCCUCAAAUUAUAGUGGUGUUUUAUUAUGUAAAGGCUGCCAUGAUUCGGUUCCUAUCCGAUGAACAAGAACAUCGUAGGAUAACAUCCCGUGUGGUUGAGACUGACAGCUCGGCAUUUCAUGCAACUUUGUAGACCCUGACCGGGAUCAUUUUCUUGGCCACGGUGUGGUAAAAUGGAGGCCACCAACCUCCCAAUGUAAUGAGACAAUUCAUCCACCUGAAUAGCAGAGUGGAUUUUAACGUGAUUGCAGAGGUGUCGAUUCUCAAGAGAAG